GGGAGUGGGGGUAAUAAUCAUAGGGGGAGGAAGAGGGUUUGCUGUAGGGGUAGGAGGAGGGUGUACUGCAGAGGAAGGAGGCGGGUGUGCUGUAAGGGUAGGAGGCGGGUGUACUGUAGGGGUAGGAGGCGGGUGAACUGUAGGGGUAGGUAGUGUAGUAGGCACCCUAAGUACAUACUUUGGGGCCUCUUGUUGCCUCUUUUUAGGCCUUGCUACCCCCUUUUCUUUAUCAGGACGGUCUGAACCUUCUCCCGUCAUUGCUGCAUUGAAAUGGUUACAAAUAAAGUGAAACAAUACAAAAGAAUAAGGAAGGAUCACUA
Molecule: long non-coding RNA, 320 nt
Filed under: Vigna radiata
Lineage: Eukaryota; Viridiplantae; Streptophyta; Magnoliopsida; Fabales; Fabaceae
Description: long non-coding RNA (VRAD_LNC011590)
Source: RNAcentral